Misgurnus anguillicaudatus (oriental weatherfish) is the source of this 1530-nucleotide long non-coding RNA. RefSeq lists it as uncharacterized. NCBI's taxonomy places the organism in Eukaryota, Metazoa, Chordata, Actinopteri, Cypriniformes, Cobitidae. The record is from RefSeq and is a predicted model, not a curated record.
AAUCAAACAUACAGUAUUUGAGAGCAAAACUAUUAAAUUGUUGUAAAAAAAAUUAAUUCGCAUUUAAAAAAUGUUAUCUUAAAAUUAUUUUAGUUACAAAAUACAGUAAUUGUUAACCAAACUUUUUGCAAUGUGAAUUUUUCUUUGAGUAAUUUCAUCGCGUGUCCCUACAUUUUGCUCUCUGCUGCGCUGUUUUUGUUUGCGGAUCAAAAAUCUUUGCUUUUGAGUCAAAAAGUUUUGGAUGCAAGUUACACGCGUCUCAGUGGGCGGGAUCAACCUAGUUGAAUGAAAGACCCGUUUCUAUUGGCCACUACUGUCACCAUUUGACCACGCCCACCACGGAAGUCUGCCACCGAGGAGAGCGAUGCUGUGCUAUGGAGAGCGGCAUUGUUUGUAAGAUGAUUCUUCACUAGAGGUUACAUUGAAGUCAGGCAAUGACAGGAAGGAUGGCUGGGGAUUCCAAGAUCUGAUAAAUGAAGUUACAUGAAGAUACUUGGACUACUCAUGGGACCAGAGAGCUAUUACACCAGCUCCAGUCUGGAUCCUGUCUCUAUCAGAUGACCCUACACAUAAGGAAAGUUGACAUCGGCCAUCACAAGGACUUCAAAACUGUUCAAAGCGCUAUACAAAUAAAUGUGAACAAAAUUGAAUUGUUUGAAGUCAACAGCAGAGAUAAGGAUGCCACACAAUGCAUCCUCCCACAACAGAUCUUGCAUUACAAAGUGAUAUUGACAUCUUUCUUGGCCUCUCUGAUUACAAUCCUCACAAUCAUUCCUGCAACACAAGAAGCACACAUUACUUUUAUGUCACAAAUCACAGUGUGUCAUUAAAGUCUGGUCUACCUGCUACUUUUAAAAGAUCUUCGUAUCAAAAUUCCUUAAAUACUGGAUUUUAUUAAUUACUUUUGUUUAGUUACCAAUAUAUUUAUUUACAUUUGCACAUUUUUUCAUAUUCAUUCAUUUUAUCCUAAACUAUUUUGCUUGUUGUUUCAUUACUGCAGAUUAUUUAUGUUGGGUGAUGCAUUGUCUUCAUAAGUAGAUAUAGGUAUAUCAGUGGUUUCCUCCGGCUAAAGAUUUUUGAUAAUGUCAUAAGACAAAGUAGCAUUGUGUAAUACUUUAUAUGUUGUUUAAAAUAUGGGUAACACUUUACAAUAAGGUAACUACAUUAAUUAACAUGAACUAAUAAUGAACUGCACUUAUACAGCAUUUAUUUAUCUUUGUUAAUGUUAAUUUCAACAAUUACUAAUACUUUUAUUAAAAUUGUGUUAAUGUUAGUUAAUGCACUGUGAACUAACAUGGACAAGCAAAUAAAGCUUUAUUUAUAUUAACUAACGUUAACAAAGAUUAGGCCUAAUAAAUACUGUAACAAAUGUAUUGCUCAUAGUUUGUUCAUGUUAGUUAAUACAUUAACUAAUAUUAACUAAUGAACCUUAUUGUAAAGUGUUACCAAAAUAUGUUACAAGACGAGUCAGACAGACCAUUGACAGUGCAGCUAAGAUUAUUCAAUAAACCAUUUUUAUUUUAUUCUUUA